ACCAAAACAACUUAAAGGGACACUAUAUUCACUAGAACAACUACAGCUUAUUGAAUUUGUUCUGGUGAGUAGAAUCAUUACCUUCAUGCCUUUUGCUGUAAACACUGUCUUUUCAGAGAAAAUGCAGUGUUUACAUUACAGCCUAGUGAAAACUUCACUGGCCACUCCUCAGAUAGCUGCUAGAGAUCCUUCCUGGGUUAUGGCUGCCUAAAAUGCAUCCAAACAUUCAGUGUCUCCUCCCUCUGCAUGCAGACACUGAACUUUCCUCAUAGAGAUUCAUUGAUUCAAUUCAUCUCUAUGAGGAGAUGCUGAUUGGCCAGGGCUAUGUUUGAAUUGUGCUGGCUCUUCCCCUGAUCUGCCUCUUUGUCAGUCUCAGGCAAUCCUAAGGAGAAGCAUUGUGAUUGGAUCAGGCUACCACUUCUGCUGAUGUCAGCAGGCAGUGGGCAGGUCUAAAGGAAACAGGCAUAAAGCAUGCAGUUGCAGACUUGAAUACAAGUAAGAUUUACUAUAUUUAGGGAGGCAAGAGGGGACCAGGGGGCUAGAUGGCGGUUGUAACCCUAUAGGGUCAGGAAUACAUGUUUGUGUUCCUGACCCUAUAGUGCUUCUUUAAGCUUAAUGAAGCAGUUAUGAUGUAUAUAUUAUUCCCUCUGAAGUUUCAUUCCUCAAUUCUCUGCCAUUUAGGAGCUAAAUCACUGGUUUCUGUUUAUGCAGCCCUAGCCAUUCAUCCCCUGCUGUGACUGACACAGCCUGUAUAAAAACAAAAUAGUUUCAAUUUCAAUCAGAUGUUACUUACUUAAAAAAAUUUUUUUUAAUUAAAUUCUUUAUUUUUGCGAUGACAACAUUCAAUGAUAGGUUACACUGAGGUUGGAAGGUACUUAUAGGUAAAAUAUAUAUAGCGUACAAUGCAGUAUUACAGGCAUCAAAUUGUAGAAUAACAUUCGUUACAGUAUUCCAGACAAUGUAUUCCUUUGUGAGAAAAGCAAGGACAAGCUGUCAAGGUAUUUUGUUUAAAACAUAGGAAAAAUAAAGGUAUAACAGAAAGGUAGAAAAAGAUUUAGGAAAAAUCACAAUAGUAUGGUCAUUGGGAUGUAUGCACUUUGCUAUGUGAGUAAUGUAGGUGGCAGCCGAAGUUCAUUUGUACCACCGUUCCUGAUGCCACAUUUUCUAUUCAUUUGCAUUUUCUUUUCUUCUUUUGGUUUGUUUUUAGUGGUUUCUAAUGAAACAUUAAGAGUCUCGCUUAUAAGGAUGAACAUGGCAGUGUAGUGCAGUCAAGUCAGUGCCAAAUGUAUUUGUGUGUAGGUUUUAAGUGGUGAGGGACAUUUGUAAUCACUUGGAGCCGAUGUCAGUAGUCAUACAUGGCUGAAAUGUGGCAAAGCCCAAGAGUCAAUGAGGUGCGGAGUAGCAGUAUAAUGAGCUCACCAUUCUGUGAGGUGCAGGAUGCAAUGCAGUCUUGUUGGCCUUUAAAAUUUUUUAUCUCCUGCUCUGUAAAUUGAACUUUAAGGCUCCUGCAGGGUCUAGCAAGGUAUUAACAGAGCAGGAGAAAAUACAUUUUAAAUUAAACACAAUUUGCAGUAAAGGAAGUGUAAACAUUAGAUGACUCUUUACAGGAAGCCUGUGUAACUCACAUGCAGGGAGGUGUGCCUAUGGCAGCAUAAACAAAGUGAUAUAAAUCCUAAAUGCCAGAGAAUUGAGCAGUGAGAACGCAGAGGCAUUAUCUAGACAGCAAAAAUCUGCUUCAUUAAAAGACCACUAUAGUGCCAGGAAAACAAACUAGUUUUCCUGGCACUAUGUAGUCCUUAGGUCCCCCCCACCCUCAUGGCCCCCCUCCAGCUGGGCUGAAGGGGUAAAAACCCCUCCAAGAGCGUCCUCACAUCUAUUCAUAUAGAAUUCUUAGUAUUCCCCCCACAAGAUUCUACUAACUAAAUCACCAUAGUGCUGAAAAAAAACAGUGAGGUGAUCAAUAAAGAAAAAUAGUAAGCCGACGCGCGAUUCAGCGCUUCUAGAGCACCUUCAUCCGGGGCAUUCAAGCCAGCCCCUCACCUAGGUCUCUUUUUAUCUGUCAGUGUAAACCAGUCACAUGGUGACUCCAGCCAAUAGCCACCCUGGAGGGCAUGUAAAUACUUAGACAAUUAACUGAUACCUUCUCUCCGAUUUUGCCCCUAGCAUACCACCCAUGUGUGGAGAGUCACUCCCUCCUCCACAGCUCAUCAACGCAAUGAGGAGGAUGGGAGGAGUCACACUAGGCGGAAUCAUGUUCAAAGUGUGUGGUCUCCUAACGUAUGAUUACCUAAUAACCCACAUCAAAGGGGUUUAAGAGGGGGUGAACACUUUAAAACACAAGUGUUGAACACCCAUGCUUAUUACCAUGUCCCAUAUUCAAUGAUAUGGUGGGUUAUUUACAUCAAUGUAUGGCAUUCCAGUAUACAGCAGCCAAUAUUACUUUGAAGUUGGUAACCACACAGUAAAGAUUAUAUGGUCACCUGUUCAUUAAUUUAGAUAAAAAAUUAUGCACUAAAGAAAACAUAACAUAGAAAGUGUAAUAAAUGAUUUUUUUUUUAGCACUAUGGUGAUUUAGUUAGUAAAAUCUUAUGGGGGGAAUACUAAGAAUUCUAUAUGAAUAGAUGUGAGGACGCUCUUGGAGGGAGUUUUAUGGCUGGACUUGGUGAAUAACUGGGGUAUUCUCUGGGAGUCUUAGGGUAGAGAAUGACUGGUUAUUUGUUUGCAUCAAGCCUUCUUUUUGCUUUAAAGGACCAUAUAGUGCCAGGAAAACAUACUCAUUUUCCUGGCACUAUAUUGGCCUGAGGGUGCCCACACCCUCAGGGACCCCCUCCCGCCAGGCUCUGGGGAAAGGAAAGGGUUAAAUCAUACCUUUUUUACAGCGCCAGGCGGGGAGCUCUCCUCCUCCUCCGAUCCUCCUCUUCGGCUGAAUGCGCAUGCGCGGCAGGAGCUGCGCGCGCAUUCAGCCAGUCUCAUAGGAAAGCAUUCAUAAUGCUUUCAUAUGGACGCUGGCGUCUUCUCACUGUGAUUUUCACAGUGAGAAGCAAACAAACGCCUCUAGCGGCUGUCAAUGAGACAGCCACUAGAGGCUUUAGAGGCUGGAUUAACCCUAAUAUAAACAUAGCAGUUUCUAGGAAACUAUGUUUAUAAAAAAAAAGGGUUAAUCCUAGAGGGACCUGGCACCCAGACCACUUCAUUAAGCUGAAGUGGUCUGGGUGCCUAGAGUGGUCCUUUAAUUCUUUCAGUUAGCAACCUUGAAGUCGAAUCUAACCUAGAUAAUCAUAUGAAGGCUGAUGCAUAUUUCCUUUUUAGGUGCAACAAUUAGUUUUUUCUAUGCAAACUGUUUAUUGUUGCUUGGAUGUACUGAUACAGAAGGAUAUUUUUUUUUCUUUUAUGUACAAACAGUAUACGGAUGUUAGUUUAGUAGUUAUAUAGGGUUUCCUAUUCCCUCCUAUUUUCCACUAUCAAGGUUUUGUAAUUGAUAUGUAUAUCUAAUACUAGGUUUUUCCUAGGUAUUUUCCCUGACUCCCACUCCCAUCUCCCUCAGCGACUCCCAGACAGUCCAUUAUAGAUUCUCCCCUAUAAUUUUCCUCUCUGCAGAGCCUCUUAGUUUGGCUUUUUUUAAUGGGUUGAUGCUGUACACGUAUGUCUCUAUAUAUUUCAAUAAAAGUGUAUAUCAAUCAUUUAAUUUUACAAGGGAUUCUUUCUGUGUCAGCUGGACUUUAAGCCCAUUGGAUAUUUAUGUGUUCACGUGUAUAAGUAUACAAGGCAUUAUGGAAAAGUGAAGAUCCUUAAAAACAGCUUAAUAUCUGGUUCUAUCAUCAGUUCUUUGAUGUUUUUACGUUAAGCAUGUUUCAUAUGACAUGGCACUAAGCACUUCAACAGUAUGUACUGGGUGAGUUACCUGUACAGUACAAGAAGAAAAAACCCCAAAACAUGUGAGUGUGUAGAAUGGAUCCCACUAUGAGCUAGUGAGGGGACAUGCAUGGGCUUCCUCCUAACCUCUCAUCCAUGGAGGAGCAUGAGAUGGAGUUGUUAAAUUACUUUUUUUGUUACAUUAAUUGAUCAUUGCCAUCUGAAUCACCCAUACCCUUAUUAUCCGCUCAUGGAAAUAAACAUCAUUUAAAAGAAAGAAAUGGAAAAAAAAAUCUUAAAUCUCCACUAAAUUAAAUGUGCAUCUGCAUAGACUGCUUUAAUUGGCAAAAUGAAACCAUAAUAGACAAUUUAGUGGCUUUACCCUGUUUAAUUUCUGUUCCAACUAAUCACAUUGCUCAUUUCCCAUAGAUUCCAAGGGGUCUAUGGAGGUCUUCUACAGUACUGGAAUAGUGGCUUGCAUUUUUGGACACCACAUGAUUAAUAGAGUGUCCUGAAAACCACUCGACAGGUUUGUGUUUUCCCCCACAGUAUGUAUUUACUAAAGUUAAAUUCAAAAUGAAUUGAAAGGGAAUUUUAAAUGUACGGUCAAAACUGUGAAAUUAUCAACGUCAACUCUGCUUUCAGUACUGCUACACUGGC
Pelobates cultripes (western spadefoot toad) is the source of this 4512-nucleotide non-coding RNA. NCBI's taxonomy places the organism in Eukaryota, Metazoa, Chordata, Amphibia, Anura, Pelobatidae. The record is from the annotation of a GenBank genome assembly.